UGAGUUUGGGGUAUUUGCUGCUUCUGAUGGUGAAGCUACUGCUCCUGAUAAUAAGGAUGAUGGUCAUCAUGAUGUUGGCCUUUUUUAUUCACUUAAUGCAGUGUUUCUCCACAUCAGAAUGCUUAAGCAUCCCUUGGGAAGUUUGUUUAAAGUUCAUAAUUCUGUGCCCUACCACUUGAUGUUCAGCUUCUGGAGAAGGAUACUAAGGCAAAUAUUAGAUCAGGAAGCACCAAGGGCACCAUUUAUUGACUUGCAGAAUAAGAAUGUGAGUUCUUUGGCUGGCCACUCUGGCUGCCCCCGAUUCACAUCCUUUAGACAUUAUUUGCCUAGGAUCCUUCCAAGCUCACCCCGAGGAAGCCAAUGGAGCAGUUUCUCUGCUUAAAAGCUUCACAGUUCACAGAUGUGGUGAGAUGAGAGUAAUUUAGGUAGGAGUGGGUGUGAGAAAGUAAUCUGGAACAAGGUUCAGCAGUCACUAACCUUAGAUGUGGAGCUUUUCUUGCAAAAGAUCUCUCUUAACCCCCAGUCAGUUUUUUAUAAGUUUUGUUUGAAGAAUUUUAUGGCUACUAAUUAUUGAGAAAUCUUCUCAGGGUUCUGGCCUUAACACUGCUUCUAUCUUAUCAUAUAACCUGGGGACCUUCAUCCUCUCUAGGAAUUUUUGAGGCUCUUGCCUCAACUGGGUUAGGGUGGAGAGGCUUGAGCAGUCAAAGGCCUGAUCAGGAGAACGUUCUUAACGAGGCAUUCCAAGGGACUAUGCUUUAUACAGGGAGGUAUCACCUUUUCGCCUAAGAAGGCAUAAGAAUGGAGCUGCUUUUGAAUGGGGUUGAGGCUUAGGCUCCCUUUCUUUCUCUCUCUCUUUAAAUAACUAUGCUCUACAAUACCCUGACCUUCAAGCUUUCUGCACCCAUGCAUCUGCGUUAUUUCUGUUGAGCAACUUGGACUGACUAUGAUUUGAAGUCUGGCAUACAUGAACUGUCUUGUUCAGAAGGUCCAGUUUGGGAUUGUCUCUCCCAUCUCACCUUGCUUAAGGCUAAAACAAUACUGAUUUUUUUCCCACCACACUGCCUAAAAUUUGAUCUUUAGUGGGCGUAUAUUCUGAGCCCUAAGAAAUGACAGGUGAUUAUUGACCAUAUAAUUGCUUUAAAACAGAGUCUAUCUUCCAAGUCAAAGAUGGUGGAAUCCUUAUUGCUUCCCAACCCACUCCACUUCAGCAAGUUUCACAGCUCAGGGAUGUCAUGGAACCAUUUCACUUAUAGGACCCAACUUUUUGUAUUAGGACUCCUGUUUUGAAGUUACUGACAUCCAACAUGAAAACCUUUAAAAAGGGAUGGGAAAUGUUGACUUAACAGAAACCAUGAAAGGAGUGAACAACCAAACAAGGUCCAGGGUGAGAACACAAUUGGGGGCAGACACUUGAAUUAAUUCAGCUUCAAUAGGAUAUUCCUUGUGUCUUAUGCAAGGCAGUGUUUAAAAGCAUGGAUACUAGUACUAACAGACCUGCAUUCAAAUCUUAGUUCUAUCCUUUGCAUGCCUUACACAAGCAAGAAAUCCAACCUCUCUGUGCUUCAGUUUCACCAUAAGAUGAGGAUGAUUAUAGUUGUUCCUAGCUCGUAGGUUUGUUUGAAGAACUAAGAGAGUCAAUAUAUGGUAAAAGUUUAGAACUGUGCCUAGCACAUAGCAUGGCCCAUCUAUAAGUGUUACCCAUUAUUAUUAUCAUGGUGUCACUCAGCACAUUGGUUUCAUUUUCUCACCACUGUCUUGCUUUUUCUAUACAGUAUGCUCACUCUGGGACCAAUGAAAUCUAGCUAAGAUUGAGGGUUGGGGGAGAAUUUGACAGCUACUAUCACAGCCUUACUGAUGCCCCUGAACAGGUGAGGGUGAACAGAGAACAUCACAGGGCAGACUGGCUCCACUGUAAAUUCUUGAUCACGAAGACAAAUGAGGUCUCAGCAUUGCCUGGCAAUCCAGCAGUUUCCUAGACAACUUGUUGUCCAGUUUCCUGAAAUAACUGGCAGUCUUUCAAUAUGUAUGUCAAACACCUGACCAUUACCUUCCCCAUUUUCCUCCAUCUCUCUUUCCCUCAGGAGAAAAGCUUACAGUACGCAGAAAAUUCACCCAGUUUUUCUGUGCAAAAACCCUUUGCUCUUCAUACCCAAUCCAUUUAAAGCUCUGCCAGCUCUAACUCCAAAAUGUUUCCCAAAUUUGUUAGUCUUUAAUGUCUAAAUCCCUCCUGUAGAACACAAUUUCUAGGAGAAUGGAGACUUUGAAUCUCUUAUUUUUUUUUUUUUUCUAUUCCAGGUAUCUGGAAUUGUGCCUGAUACCUAGUAGGAACUCAGUUAAAUAUUGACUAAAUGAAUUAAAAUAAAAAUUAUCUGAGGGGAACCCUUAGAUGUCUAUUACUAGUCAUGUACAUGUACUUACAGUCAUUCUGUCUUCCUUCCCCAUCACCUAUCUCUGCUUAGGAAACUUAUUGUUAUUGAUUCUUUUUCUCCACAUGAAUUGUCAGCUUUUUAACAUACUCUCCCAUUGAAAAGAAAACCAGGAGUUCCUGUGUCGUGGCCCAGUGGAAAUGAAUAUGACUAGCAUCCAUGCGGACACAUGUUCAAUCCCUGACCCUGUUCAGUGGGUAAGGAUCAGGUGUUACCCUGAGCUGUGGUGUAGGUUGCAGAUGUGGCUCAGAUCCUGUGUGGCUGUGACUGUGGUGUAGGUCAGUAGCUACAGCUCAAUUCUACCCCUAGCCUGGGAACCUCCAUAUGACGCAGGUGUGGCCCUAAAAAGAUAAAACCAACCAACCAACCAGAAACAAACCUCCUAUCAUCCUAAAUCUCGUUCCACUUACCACUGAGAGUCAGAUAGAUAUGUAUAUGGCCCUAAGACUCUAAGCCAGGCACUACUAAUUUGGGCCUCUAUUGAUUAGCCUUGAGAAAUUCUAAUUGUAGUGUAGCAUUUGACUCAAUGGUGGGUUGACUUUUGAAUAAUUUGAAUUUUAACUUUAUAAUUUGAGCAAAAGGUGUCAAUGUAUAAUUUGACUUUGUAAUUUGGAGUUUGUAGCCUCGGGAAGUUUCGACAAUGACUCAGGAGGUAUCUGGCAGUGACUGUAAAGCCAGCAAUAAACCAUGAUCAUAUCAUUUAAGAAAAAACAUAAUUUAAGAAAUGACAGUUUACGCCCAGUUUUUCCUUUUACCCACCUUCGUCUCACUCCUUCACACAUGCCAUUCUGUUUUAUACCCCUAAUCCACACACCCCAAACAGCCAUUAUUGAAUUUUUCAAGCACUCUCCAUUUCACUAAAACCAAAGGCAAUUUUUCAGCUGUCAACUGACAGUUUAAUAGGACUGAUCACUCCUUGAAACUCUCUUUUCCUUUGACUUCUUGCCUAAACAUUCUCUGGAUUUUUUCCAUUGUGUUUGACUGUAACUUUUCUCUCUCUCUCUCUCUUUUUUUUUAAAGUUUCAUUCUCCUCUUCUUGGCCAUUAAGAAUUCCCACCCACAUUCCUACUUCGGCAAAGACUUGCUGAGCCUGAGAAUUCAGCCUUCUCUGGAGCUCCAGUACUUCUGUCAUUAAGUCUUGGACCUAAAUCUCAGCUAAGGUCUGCCUUCCAACUUAAGGAGAUUACAAACAAAAUGUUUACCUUGGAAUUGUUCUUUUAUAUUUCCCCUUCCUAAGCCAUCAUCUUCAGUGUGAUAAAUAACCUUUAGACAAGUAUUAAUCAUAUCUCUUUAUUAAAGUAAUAUUUUUUCUUGUGACAUAUAGUUAUUUUAGAAAAUGUAGAAAAUAUAAGAAGCAUAAAGGAAAAAGUAAAAAUUCUUAUAAUCACAUCAUCUAAUAAUCACUAUAAAUAUUUUAGAACUUUUUCUACACAUAUAAAUUUUAUUUUUUCAAAGUUGACUAUAUAUAUAAUUUUGUAUUUUGCAUUUUAAAAAUCUAAAAUUACAUUGUGACUAUUUCCUAUGUUAUUAAAUAUUCUCCUGAAACACAGCUUUUAGUGGCUUUAUUGUAUUUCAUCCAUAAUUACAUUUCUUCCACAAUUUAAACAUAUGAUUUUGUUGUACAUUUAGGGUAUUUCUAAUUUUUGAUAUUUAACAAAUGAACAUUCAUAUACAAAAUAUUGUGUCUUGAGUGAUUUGCAUGGAAUAGAUUCCUAGAAAUGGGAUUGCUGAAACAAAAGAUAUGAGCUUUUAAAAAAAACAUAUAUACAGUAAAAUACUUAAGUCUUAUGUAUAUAGCUUGAAUGAAUUUUUACCUAUUUAUAUAUCUAUGUAACCCUCUUUCAAAUAAAAAUAUAGAAUACUUCCAAUAUCUCAGAGGACUCCCUCAUCUUUUCAGCCAGUCAAUCACUUCGAAGGUAAGCACUGUUCUAACAUUAACAUGAUGUUCUAACGUUAACAUCAUGGCAUAAUUUUGCCUGUUUUUGAACUUUAUUAAAGCACAAGCACAGAUUAUUUACAUUUGUGUGUAACUACAUAAUAACAUAUCUAUGAGAUCUGCCCAUGUUGCUGCAAAAAGUAAUUGUUCAUUAUUUCUCAUUUCACUGUAGUAUUCAGUUCUAGAACUAUAUUACAACUUAUUUGUCCCUUCUACUAUUUUGGGAUAUUUAUGUUGUUUCUAGCUUUUGUUAUUGUAAUUGAAGUUGCUGUGAAGCUACUUGUAUGUAUCUUUUGGUGGCUGUUGUACUCUUUAUUUUGGGUAAGUUCCUAGAAGUGAAAUUUCUGAGUCAUAAGGUAUAUAUAGAUAUAGAUAUAGAUAUAUAGGUGUAAUAUAUAUAUCUAUUAAAGUGAAUGAUAAGAUUAUUCAGAUAUUCAUAUGAAAAUGCAAAUCUCCUAGAAUGGUCAAUUCCAAAUUUCAUAGAUGUUAUUGUAUUUAAGUGUGCAUAGUAAACUAUAGACUGAGAAUUUAACAAUGUUUAAAAAUUUAGGAGUUCCCAUCAUGGCGCAGUGGUUAACGAAUCCGACUAGGAACCAUGAUGAUGUGGGUUCGAUCCCUGGCCUUGCUCAGUAGGUUAAGGAUCUGGCGUUGCCCUGGGCUGUGGUGUAGGUCACAGAUGCAGCUCGGAUCUGGCAUUGAUAUGGUGAUUAGACCCCUAGCCUGGGAACCUCCAUAUGCUGCGAGUGCAGCCCUA
This 5116-nucleotide long non-coding RNA is filed under the name Sus scrofa (pig). RNAcentral describes it as "lncRNA (ENSSSCG00000060014.1)". Lineage: Eukaryota; Metazoa; Chordata; Mammalia; Artiodactyla; Suidae. The record is from RNAcentral.